AGAGUUUGAUCAUGGCUCAGGAUGAACGCUGGCGGUAUGCCUAACACAUGCAAGUCGAACGAUGUCUUCGGACAUAGUGGCGGACGGGUGAGUAACGCGUGAGAAUCUGCCUCUAGGAUGGGGAUAACGGUUGGAAACGACCGCUAACACCCAAUAUGCCGUAAGGUGAAAAAUUUAUUGCCUGGAGAGGAGCUCGCGUCUGAUUAGCUAGUUGGUGGGGUAAGAGCUCACCAAGGCUUCGAUCAGUAGCUGGUCUGAGAGGAUGAGCAGCCACACUGGGACUGAGACACGGCCCAGACUCCUACGGGAGGCAGCAGUGGGGAAUUUUCCGCAAUGGGCGAAAGCCUGACGGAGCAAUACCGCGUGAGGGAGGAAUGCCUUUGGGUUGUAAACCUCUUUUCUCAGGGAAGAAGAUCUGACGGUACCUGAGGAAUAAGUAUCGGCUAACUCCGUGCCAGCAGCCGCGGUAAUACGGAGGAUGCAAGCGUUAUCCGGAAUCAUUGGGCGUAAAGCGUCCGCAGGUGGUUUCCAAAGUCUGCUGUUAAAGACUGGAGCUCAACUCCGGAACGGCGGUGGAAACUUGGAAACUAGAGUUCGGUAGGGGUAGCAGGAAUUCCCAGUGUAGCGGUGAAAUGCGUAGAUAUUGGGAAGAACAUCGGUGGCGAAGGCGUGCUACUGGACCGUAACUAACACUCAGGGACGAAAGCUAGGGGAGCGAAAGGGAUUAGAUACCCCUGUAGUCCUAGCUGUAAACGAUGGAAACUAGGUGUGGCUUGUAUCGACCCGAGCCGUGCCGUANCUAACGCGUUAAGUUUCCCGCCUGGGGAGU
Molecule: ribosomal RNA, 829 nt
Filed under: uncultured marine microorganism
Description: bacterial SSU rRNA
Rfam family: Bacterial small subunit ribosomal RNA
Source: RNAcentral